CCCUUAGAUGUUCUGGGCAGCACGCGCGCUACAAUGGUCUUCGCAAACGGAUGCAUUCUCGAAGGAGAAUGCCAAUCUUGGAAUCUAUGCCUUGGUCGGGACAGUUGCUUGCAAUUUUUCGACUCGAACCAGGAAUUCCUUGUAAUCGUGAUUCAUCACAUCACGAUGAAUACGUCCCUGCCCUUUGUACACACCGCCCGUCGCUCCUACCGAUCGAAGAGUUAGGUGAAUUGUUUUGAUCGAUAAGAUUUGACUAUGGUCAACUCUCGUUGUGAAAUUCUGUGAAUCUGACUGUUUAGAGGAAGGAAAAGUCGUAGCA
Molecule: ribosomal RNA, 319 nt
Filed under: uncultured eukaryote
Lineage: Eukaryota
Description: partial 18S ribosomal RNA
Rfam family: Eukaryotic small subunit ribosomal RNA
Source: RNAcentral